This is a long non-coding RNA of Lolium rigidum, 1349 nucleotides long. RefSeq lists it as uncharacterized. The transcript has 3 exons. The record is from RefSeq and is a predicted model, not a curated record. Lineage: Eukaryota; Viridiplantae; Streptophyta; Magnoliopsida; Poales; Poaceae.
CUCCAUCUCCUCCACUCUGCCUCCACCUUUCCCCCGCAUUCGAUUUAUCCAUGCACGAGUGCCGGUUAGGCGGUUAACACCAGUCGUGUGCACCGAAUCAUCCCAAGAAGCCAUCGCGAGCUGUGUGCUGCAGGACAUAGCCAUGGGCAAAUCGGCAAGAAUCCUUGAAAUGAUUGAUUCCUCAAUCGAGGCGUACGCUCUGUCAAGUGGAUUUGAGCAAAGACUAUGUUGCUUCGUCCUCAUAUCUCCUAGACUGUUUGAAGGCCCACGGCAGUACCUCUGCUCCUGUACAGGAGCUAUAGCUGCCUCUCAACUUCAUGGCUUCAAUUCUGCUAAUACACCUUUGUCAUGGAUAUUGCCGGCCAGCACCGCUGAUCCAUACUCAAACUCAACUACUCUUCAGUCGCUCAGUCUCCCCUACCUUCAAUGGCGCUUCCUCUCCCUGAUCCGAGGCACCCUGAGGUUUAAAUUUCUAAAUCAGAUUCGAAAGCUAAUGUUCUAUGAUCUUCAUUCGUGAGCAGAGUGAAAGAGAUGUGUAUAUAUCAAUUGCCGGCAAGACAUUGUAAGGAGAGGACAUCAGUUUAGGUUAACUGGGUCAGACUUUUGGUUUGGCGUUAAAGCAUGGCAGUAAGAAGAGCUUGCUAGGAUUUAGGUUGAUGGUAUGGAGAGGCUGGGGAUUUCUCCCAUUUCGAAAAAAAAAUAGCACAUAUGCACAUCUUCACCUUCUUUAUUGGUAAAAAUAAUAUGCUUAUUCUGCCAAUGAUUUUACUAUUUUUCUCCGUACCCCCUUUUGUUCCUAUGUGGUGUUAAUCUCUGCUCUGUACGAACUCAAUUUCUUCAUCUUCCAUCUUUACUAGCAGGCUUAUUAUGCUGCAGUCUAGCAACUACUAAUUUCCAUGUAACUUCCGUUGUUAGCUUAGAACAAGAGGCAAAUCUGUUUCAUAUAUUAAAAAAAAAUCCUUCAAAUGAGCAUGAAUGGAUCGGUCAUAAUUGUGAGAAUACGGUGAGAUGGUACCCUCCUUCUUGAUUUGUAAUUAGAAGUUUCUGUACUUUUGACAUUUUUUAAUACAGAUAACAUUUUCAUACAUACUAUCAUUGUUCAUACAUGUCACACUUUCUGCAAUGUAUUUUCAUAUGUAUUUCCAUCUAUAUAUACUGCUGUCUUUUGUCACAAGUUCAAGCAAUCAGAGUGAAGCUUCCAUCAAUAAUAGGUUGGGUGAUUGGGACGUCAUUAUGUCUUCUAACCUAUACCGUUACGAAUUCGUGCAAUCCUAUUUGGUUCCAUUUUACGACAUCUAUCACCUGCCAUAUUUGUUUCAGAGUAAGGAAACGGUUUGGCAGAAGUAGUA